Molecule: ribosomal RNA, 406 nt
Filed under: uncultured bacterium
Lineage: Bacteria
Description: partial 16S ribosomal RNA
Rfam family: Bacterial small subunit ribosomal RNA
Source: RNAcentral
AUUGAACGCUGGCGGCAGGCCUAACACAUGCAAGUCGAGCGAGCGGCGGACGGGUGAGUAAUGUAUGGGAAACUGCCUGAUGGAGGGGGAUAACUACUGGAAACGGUAGCUAAUACCGCAUACUAUCAGAUGAGCCCAUAUGGGAUUAGCUAGUAGGUGCGGUAAUGGCUCACCUAGGCGACGAUCCCUAGCUGGUCUGAGAGGAUGACCAGCCACACUGGGACGGAGACACGGUCCAGACUCCUACGGGAGGCAGCAGUGGGGAAUAUUGCACAAUGGGCGCAAGCCUGAUGCAGCCAUGCCGCGUGUAUGAAGAAGGCCUUCGGGUUGUAAAGCACUUUCAGUGGGGAGGCGUUACCCGCAGAAGAAGCACCGGCUAACUCCGUGCCAGCAGCCGCGGUAAUUC